This is a non-coding RNA of Epinephelus lanceolatus (giant grouper), 729 nucleotides long. The record is from RefSeq and is a predicted model, not a curated record. Lineage: Eukaryota; Metazoa; Chordata; Actinopteri; Perciformes; Serranidae.
ACCUCAGUGAGACACAAGUCCCAAAACUUGAUUGGACAAGACCUGUGACUCUGUGAUGUCACAGGCAUCUGUACAAGGUCUGCUUCCUCCAAGCCUUUUCUCUCUUUGCUCCAACCGUGGAGCACACUGCAUGAAAAGUGGGAUUUUCGGCAAUCAUUGGCACUGUAAAUUGCUUUGGAAGUUCAAGUUAACGACUGUUCGUAGGAAUUUACAGUCAGCACAGAAAACUGCCGAUAACUGCCUGGAAUUGAUGUGGAUUUUCAAUCCCUGGCAGUUUCAAGGUAAGAAAGUAAGAAAGCCCCCCCCCCCCAGGCCCUUGGACUGUGUGAGGUUUUCACAUGUAAAUGAGACAGAAAGACAGCUUCCACCAAGUCCCACCACAGACCUUGAGAAGAAACUGCUGGGUGCCAUCAGUGGGCUGUCUCGCCAGUUAAAUCAACACAUGACACAGUUCACGCAGUUUGCAGUUGAGGUGAGGCAGCAAAAGGCUGACAUCAAUGCCAGACUGAUUUCCCUGGAGGAGCACAGCCGAAACUGUUCUUCAGGAGAAGAGCCCACCAGGAAAAAAAGACGAGUGCACAAUCCAAAAAUUGCGGAAACGGUCCGGCGCCUUCACAACAGUGAAGGAAAUAACAGGCGUUAUGAACCGGAGCAAGGACUGAGCUCUCCCCACAAUGAGGCAGUGACCUCACAUUUGGUGGCAGCCCUGACUGCAAGUCCAGACAUGGA